This 743-nucleotide long non-coding RNA is filed under the name Volvox carteri. RNAcentral's name for it is "long non-coding RNA (VCAR_LNC002982)". The record is from RNAcentral. Lineage: Eukaryota; Viridiplantae; Chlorophyta; Chlorophyceae; Chlamydomonadales; Volvocaceae.
AGCGAUGUACAUAAGGAAAGAAUUAAAGAUCAUAACCAAAGGGCAAGAAUAAAUGCCGAUCGUAACAGGCAGCUUUUGCAUCCGGGCCAUGACGGAUAUUUUCGUAUACUAUUCAAAACUUUUCAAAUUAUCAACACGAUAGGUGCAUCGGUUACUACAGUAAGGCUACACAGCUAUCCACUUGCGCAGAAUAUUAAGGUAAUAAGGUAUUACGGUUUAAGGUAUACAAGGUCUAUUAUAGGGUAUAAAAGGCAUUUCAUCGCUUGUUGAGUGCCAUGGACUUCUUUCGGUUGCCAGCAAUCAUUUACUGGUACAGGUGCUCACCGGCGGGCGGACUGUAAAUCGCGGACUGUGCCUUCCUCGGUCCGCUUCUUUCUCCCUCUGCCACUCCAAGCAGAAGCGUGCUGCUCUGGCCAAACUCCAUAUUGCGCUGGCGGCCCCUCACGAACUGGACAACACACGGAUCCCCAAAAGGAGCAGACAGGGUUGGAAGAUUGCGUAGGACUUCCUGAGGCCUCUUGAGGGCAGUAAGCCCUGCAUUAGAAAGACCUUCGCCGGGGUUAUAGGAGCCACCUCUGGUCAUAUGUGCUGGAACUUACACGUCCCUUAGCAGGUCGGGACAGGUGGCCUCCAGCACAUCGCCCGGGACGCGAGGCUUGCCCAUCCCUAAGAAAGACCCUGCAGGAAGUCCCAAUCCCUGUUACUGUGCAUACAUCUUGUUGAAAAGGGAACCAAAGUCCCUA